RNAcentral lists this long non-coding RNA (407 nucleotides) under Physcomitrium patens. RNAcentral describes it as "long non-coding RNA (PPAT_LNC002722)". Lineage: Eukaryota; Viridiplantae; Streptophyta; Bryopsida; Funariales; Funariaceae. The record is from RNAcentral.
AUUUCUUCCUCAUUUUAGAUCUGAUUUUAUCAAAUCUUACACAAUAGUUGAAGUCCUUCAAGUCAGCUUUCUAAUUCCACCUUCCGAUUGUUAAAUGCCUUUCUACAAUUUUUUGUAUGCUUGAAAGAGUGACAGUAGGUACAAAUUUCACAUCUAGACUUUAAACAGCCAUAUCUCUCUCAUUGCAGAUUCAAAGUUAACAAUCCUUGCAUGAAAAUUGUAUUGCUUCAAACCAGCUUUCCAAUGAAACCUUUUGUUUUCUAGAAAACCUUUACAACUUUCUGUAUGCUUAAAAGAGUAACAAUCAGUAAACAAUUCACACCCUAACUUCAAACAACCUUAACUUCUUCAUACAAAACUCAAAUAACAAACUUUAUACACCAAAAUUAUAGCCCAAAAUACAAGCU